UGAACUUUCUGUUCUUUGUGAUGCCGAAGUUGCUCUCAUCAUCUUCUCCAAUCGUGGCAAGCUCUAUGAGUUCUGUAGUACUUCCAACAUGCUCAAAACACUGGAGAGGUACCAAAAAUGCAGUUAUGGAGCGGUGGAGGUCACAAAACCGGCCAAAGAACUCGAGAGUAGCUAUAGAGAAUACUUGAAGCUGAAGGCUAGGUUUGAGUCUUUACAAAGAACUCAGAGAAAUCUUCUUGGUGAGGACUUGGGUCCAUUGAACUCAAAAGAGCUUGAGCAACUGGAGCGUCAGCUUGAGUCUUCUUUGAAGCAAGUUAGGUCCACUAAGACUCAGUACAUGCUGGACCAGCUGUCUGAUCUUCAGAACAAGGAACAAAUGCUGAUUGAAACCAACAGAGCUCUGCAAAUAAAGCUGGAAGAAAUAAGUUCAAGAAAUAACAUAAGGCUUACAUGGGAAGGUGGAGACCAAAGUAUGUCAUAUGGUCCACAAAAUGCCCAAACUCAAGGCUUCUUUCAGCCACUAGAUUGCAAUCCCACUUUGCAAAUUGGGUACACUUCUGCAGUAUCAGACCAAAUUACAAGCACCACUGCUCCAACUCAUGCCCAACAAGUCAAUGGCUUCCUCCCUGGUUGGAUGCUUUGAAGACCAAAAAAAACUACCUCUCCUUUUUCUACUUUUGUUGCUUACUUUUUUUUCUUUUUUCUUUUUGCACUAUGCUACCAAUACUAUGCAAAAUUGUUAAUAAGCAUUAUAUUUUACUUUUCAUUUUAGAACUUGAAAGAAAAUCCCAAAAUUUGAACCACUUGUAUUGAG
RNAcentral lists this unclassified non-coding RNA (814 nucleotides) under Hevea brasiliensis (rubber tree). The record is from RNAcentral. Lineage: Eukaryota; Viridiplantae; Streptophyta; Magnoliopsida; Malpighiales; Euphorbiaceae.